This 354-nucleotide unclassified non-coding RNA is filed under the name uncultured fungus. RNAcentral's name for it is "partial contains small subunit ribosomal RNA, internal transcribed spacer 1, and 5.8S ribosomal RNA". The stretch from base 1 to 73 matches the Rfam family "Eukaryotic small subunit ribosomal RNA", at positions 1759 to 1831 of the family's 1831-position model. Lineage: Eukaryota; Fungi. The record is from RNAcentral.
GCAAACUUGGUCAUUUAGAGGAAGUAAAAGUCGUAACAAGGUUUCCGUAGGUGAACCUGCGGAAGGAUCAUUAACAAAUCCAAACAACAAAUACCCUGUUGAAAUGUUGGUGCAGCGUCAUGUUGCAUCAUUUCUUUCCCUUGAUGGGAGUGGAUGGAUAUGUGUGAGUGAGGAUGAUGAUGUCAUGUCUAUGUAUGUCUUCAUCCCCACCCCACCUUCUCCCUCCCCCCUUCCGCCAAGGGAAGGCUUACUACAAAUUACAGACUAUUGAUUGACAAGCUUAAGAUGAUAUCAUAACGUUAAACAACUUUUAACAAUGGAUCUCUUGGCUCUUGCAUCGAUGAAGAACGCAGC